UACGUAGGCAGCGAGCGUUGUUCGGAAUUACUGGGCGUAAAGGGUGUGUAGGCGGUGCUCUAAGUUCGGUGUGAAAUCUCCCGGCUUAACUGGGAGGGUGCGCCGGAAACUGGAGUGCUUGAGCGCGGGAGAGGAAAGCGGAAUUCCUGGUGUAGCGGUGAAAUGCGUAGAUAUCAGGAGGAACACCUGUGGUGUAGACGGCUUUCUGGACCGUAGCUGACGCUGAGACACGAAAGCGUGGGUAGCAAACAGG
Molecule: ribosomal RNA, 253 nt
Filed under: uncultured bacterium
Lineage: Bacteria
Description: partial 16S ribosomal RNA
Rfam family: Bacterial small subunit ribosomal RNA
Source: RNAcentral